RNAcentral lists this ribosomal RNA (400 nucleotides) under uncultured bacterium. RNAcentral describes it as "bacterial SSU rRNA". It matches the Rfam family "Bacterial small subunit ribosomal RNA", at positions 30 to 429 of the family's 1533-position model. The record is from RNAcentral.
AUUGAACGCUGGCGGAAUGCUUUACACAUGCAAGUCGAGCGGCAGCACGGACUUCGGUCUGGUGGCGAGUGGCGAACGGGUGAGUAAUAUAUCGGAACGUAUCCAAUAAUGGGGGAUAACUAAUCGAAAGGUUGGCUAAUACCGCAUACGCCCUACGGGGGAAAGCUAGGGACCUUCGGGCCUGGCGUUAAUGGAGCGGCUGAUAUCUGAUUAGCUAGUUGGUGAGGUAAAGGCUCACCAAGGCGACGAUCAGUAGCUGGUCUGAGAGGACGACCAGCCACACUGGAACUGAGACACGGUCCAGACUCCUACGGGAGGCAGCAGUGGGGAAUUUUUGGACAAUGGGCGCAAGCCUGAUCCAGCCAUUCCGCGUGAGUGAAGAAGGCCUUCGGGUUGUAAA